Long non-coding RNA from Grammomys surdaster, 366 nucleotides. RefSeq lists it as uncharacterized. The record is from RefSeq and is a predicted model, not a curated record. NCBI's taxonomy places the organism in Eukaryota, Metazoa, Chordata, Mammalia, Rodentia, Muridae. The transcript has 2 exons.
GGAGUAGAUUAAAUUGUAGGAGAAAAAUCUUAUCCUGAGCUCAAGAUAGCUGGUAAUGGGAGUCCUGUGGUGACCUUCCUGGAUAAGUUAAAAGAAUACAGGCACUUUUAACUGUUCCCUUGUUCACCAUCUCUAAUCUACCUGGAAGAAGUGUAGUCCCUCUACCCGUGAUGAAGCCCCUCUCAUGAGCAGGCCUGGCUGCUAAGGUGAUGCUGGCCUCAGACAGCAUGGAGCUCUGACCCUCUCUGGUAGUCCCACUGGCGCCAACCUGGAACCCAGGGACACACGGCACGGUGUGGAACCCUUCUCCACUGCUGGAAUGAAAACUGGCCUCAUUGUGGUAAAAUAAAGUGUGGCAGAUUUGCA